RNAcentral lists this ribosomal RNA (253 nucleotides) under uncultured bacterium. Its description in RNAcentral is "partial 16S ribosomal RNA". It matches the Rfam family "Bacterial small subunit ribosomal RNA", at positions 524 to 776 of the family's 1533-position model. The record is from RNAcentral.
UACGUAGGGGGCAAGCGUUGUCCGGAUUUAUUGGGCGUAAAGAGCGUGUAGGCGGUCCGGUAAGUCAGCUGUGUAAGUCAAGGGCUCAACCCUUGAAUGCCGGUUGAUACUGUCGGGCUAGAGUCCGGAAGAGGCGAGUGGAAUUCCCGGUGUAGCGGUGAAAUGCGUAGAUAUCUGGAGGAACACCGGUGGCGAAGGCGGCAUCCUGGACCGGUAUUGACGCUGAGGCGCGAAAGCUAGGGGAGCAAACGGG